AAUUGGAUUUUUUUUUUUCAUUGAAGGGUAAAAGAACUCGUCUCCUUUUUGCUAACCUAGAAAUGGACAAAAGGACAAGCAAAUGAAGCAAAAUCAAAGCUAUACCUUUUAACAAUCAUAAGAAUAUGAAUGGUUGGGUUUUAAUUCACACUUCUCUCUAACCAAGGACUUGAAGCAAGUUGGGAGUAACUAACAAGAAUGAGGCAACUGGAGCAGAACAAGCACAAAUCUCCAAUGCUCUUCACUAAUAUCAACCUAAUAACAAAUAAAAACUUUACAAUUAUAUCACCAACGCAUUGUGGUGUUUCUUACAAAUUAAUUGGAACCAACAGAAACCAAUUAGCAAUAAUCUAAACAGCCCUUCAAACACAGAAAAAACCAUUAACGUACAAGCACUCAGCAACUUCUCCAAGUGGCUGGAGGGGGUAGCAGAAUUUCGUGGUGGGCACCAUUGGCACGGUGUGAAUGAAAGACUUUUACAUUAUUGUGCAAUUGCACUUGGAUUCCAGCUUCGGAGGCUUUAUACUAUCCGUGUUAUUAGAAAGGCCAACAUUACGUACCAUAGAUUCAUUGGCAUUUUCAUCAUUUUCGGUCUUGGUAGAAGGGGAUUUUACAUCCAAUUCCAUCCGUUUCCGUCUGACUUUCAGGGAUUUUGAUGUACGUUUUCCCGUAGUUCUGCUGCGUGAAUCCUUUCUAUCUGCAGUGGACUUUCCCAGAACUGUAACUGUUGGCCAAGAACCUUCCAGGCAGACCGAGUCUUCUUUUUCAAUGGCUAUAGUUGCAGCCCGGUAGGCCAGAUCAUGGACAAUGGAGCUACAGAAAAGUAUUGUAUCUGUUGCUUCUUCAAGGGUUAGGCUUCUUGCCAUACUUCCUCUCUGAACCUUUACAGUUGAAUCCUCCAAUAUGCCAUGUGAGUGAUCCGAGUUGCUUUGCUCCAGAACAGAAGCAGACAUUUCCUUGCCUGAAGAUGUAGGGAUUGAAACAUCCUGAAAUUCAUUUAUACUACUCUUUGAAUUUGUAGAGACAUCAUCAUUCUCUGAGCCAAGGGAACUUUGACAGAAGUUCUCAGUUUCUAUUUCAGAUAUUGAGACCAAAGAACUAUGAGCAGUAACCCCAAUAUCAAUUCGUCCAUCAACACUAGAGUUCAACAUGGUAUGUUCCAUUUCAACUGGAGGAUCUGGAGUAAUAAUUGAUGCUUCUACAUCUGAGAUACUGAUUGUAUUGUUUAGUAAAUCAUCUUUGUUUCCAUGUAGAUGACAGUCUUCAUAAGUCGGAAUUGAUGCUACUGGAUUCUCCUCUAACUGAAUGCCAACUGUCUGGCAUGACAAACCCGAUGUACAACCCUCCUCAGGAACUACUGCACCGGUAAAAGAUACAUUAGAAACACCCAUUUCCUUUUUUUCUGAAGAUACCACUAUUCCGUGAGAAGUUAAAGUUGCUCCUUCUAUUCCAUCAUGCUUCAUAUCACCAACAGAAGCCUCACUUUUCUCUUCAUGGGUGCUUGUUGCAAGACCUAAAGCAUGAGUGUGGUUUGAAGUUCCAGACAAAGAUGAUCCAGCACUUUGAGGUCUAUUUUUUGUGUCAUAUCUGUAGUUCUCCAUGUCAGAUUUCCUGCCACUUAACUGCCGUUGAACACGAGUUUCGACUUGCCUGCCGGAGCUGAAGUCAAUAGAGGAUGAAGCAGAGGUACUGGCAUGUCCAAAGGAGCUUCUCAAACUGUUUGCACCAUCUCGAGUAUAAGAGAAAUCAUCGUAAGUGAUGGUAGAGGCAAUAAAAGUCCUGGCUUGAACAACUGGCCCCUUGAUGCUGCUUGACCUCUUAAGCAGUACAGAAAUGCCAGCACCUUCAGAGACAUCCACCUUAAGACUUUGAUAGUCACUAGAACGUAGCAAUUGCUGAGCUUCAGAGUCAUUAUCAGGUAGCAUGUAACUACCAGCAGGUUGCCCAGCUGCAUGCUGGCUAGCAAUCCUCUGCUCAUCUCCCUCCACUGGUGACCUAGCUUGGGAACUUUCUUGGAAGUAAGUAUGGCUUUGUUCAUGGCAUGUAGCUUGGCCAUGCUUAACAUCAUCUCCUUCCUGAAUAACUCUCGACUCUACCUCAUCAAAAACUUGUGAUUGUGACUUAGGUAUGGCCACCUGUGUGUCAAGCUCAUCAAAUGGUUUGUGUUCAGAAAUAUUCAUAGACGACACGGGGGAAUUCUUAGAAGCUACUAUUGCUGUCUCCAGACAGGUGGCAGCCACAAGAUUGUUUUGUCUACAGCAAUCUGGACAAAGAUUUAUAUCCUUUUCCAACAUUUCAAUGGCAACAUACCUGCAACCACAUUUAAAACAAACUUUUGUGUUUUUGCUACUGUCGACUUCUGAAAAAUCAGCUUUGACACAUAAAGUGUCGGAAGCAGAACUGAUCUCCAUAUCAAUCUGCUGGUGGCUGAAAUCUUCAGAGUCAUUAGGCUCACAUUCAGCUGCAGGGUUUCUGUCAAAAUCACCAACCCGAAAGUGCGAACCAUCAUCCGCAUCAUGCCUGACAUCCUUAUUUAAUGUAUCCACCUUAUCAAAGGCAAAUACUUCUUCCUGAGCAUCAGAAUAUCUUGUUUUUCCACUUUCAAUUACCAUAUAUUCCAAACGGUGGUCAUUUCCAUCAGUAUCAGGUGCAGCACUGGUACCUUGAUCAGAACUUGCAUUACUGCUGAUUGCAACUGAAGAAUUCCUAGACAUCAAAGGACGAUGUGCAGAAUUUGCUUUUGCAACAUAGAAGGUAGAACUUGGCACACUAGAUAAGAGUGGUCUGAACAUUUUCUGAGGACUCUUCCGAUGAUCCAUUUGACGAAGAGCAGAACCAAAGGAUCUUUUUGGAGCAGAACUAGGAGAAAUUAUUCUCGUUGAUUUCUUAGAAAAUGCCACAGCUCUAUUAUUUGAAAAUGUGUCAGUUGUUUUUGAAGCCAAGUGGUCUAAGCUACCCGCAUGAAUUGAUUGCACAGAGUCCAAAUCAUCAUCACCAGAUGAUGCAACAGAACAUCUGCUGUGUGAGCUAGUCCGAUCUCGCUCUUGACUGUGUGAUGAACAAACACUUCUAGAAGCAGUCGGAGACAUUGAUUGCCUAUGAAAUUUUGAGCUUAAGUCCCUACCAUUUCUAGAUGCUGGUGAGGAACCCCUUACAUACGAUGCGGGUGAGGAACCCCUUACAUAUGAUGCUGGUCGAUCUGCCAGAGAGGUGCGGAGAUUGGGUGGUGCUUCAGAAGGGAAACCAGGGAUAUUUGAUUGCCAUGCCCUUAUUUUCGGUGAAGUAGAAUUCCCUCGACUUGUUCUUACAGGUGAAACUCCCCUUCCUCUUGACCCUGUGCUUGUCCUCCUUGGGGUCGGAGUUGAAGACCUUGGACCAGGUGUUGUAGCUUUACUUGGAGAAGGAGAUGGUCUACGUGAUGGAGAGGCAGGUCGUUGGCUAGGAGUUGGGCUAGAAUGAGAUGCUGAUGAUGGCCUUCCCCUGGACUGAAUUGAACUAUUAGCAGACCGAGGUGAUGGACUUAACCGAUUUGGACUUGCACUGCCACGACUGCUUCUGUAACUUUUCUCCAUUGUGGAUGAUCUUGAUAUAGUGAUAGGCUGACUCCGAGGCCUACCCCUGGAUGCAACGUUAGCUGGUGGUGGCUCAUCAUCCAAUGAAGGAAAAAGAGGAGUGUCGGGGGGAGUUAAUAACCAAUCAUAGUCAUUUUUCUCCCCAUCCGCAUUAAGCAGUUCACUACUUUCUCCUCGAACAGGAAUAGAGAUUCCAAGUUUGAAAUCUGAAAAUUGUCUCAACUUUGUGGAAAAUGUGUCUUCAAAGUCAUCAGAUGACUGGAGCAAAAAACUUUCUGUUUCUCUGGAUUGCAUUUCAUUGAAUAAAGCAAGAUCGUCAUCUUUCUCCUUGAAGAGCAAUCCACCUUCAAGACUGCGGCCUCGUUUAUGGUUCUUGGCUUUGGGCUCCCUCCCGGGAGAAUAUCUCAAUGCUGGAGAAGGAGGCAUCUCCACUACAAACUAAACUUCCAAAAUAAUCACUUUAACCUCUCCUUGCAACCACAACUAAAACAACCCUUUUUCCAAAUCCGAUUGCCCAUCACUUGCAUCCAACUAAAACAACUGAACCUUGCAUUCAAAUUGCCAUCCUCGCAAUUUCCAUUACUUAAUCCCACUUCCAGCAAUCCAAAUACAGCACAAUCAUACACAUAUAAUUCACAAUAACAGAAUCAACUGUACCAUUCCAAAUGCGGAAUCUCAACGACCAUAUCCAAUAAGCACGAAAUCAAAGCCUUCGCCUUGCAAUACAAUAUCUAAAACCCUAAAUUCCCAUCACCCUAAUGAUCCCGCGGUACCAAACCAUAACAUUUCACCGUCCACCCCCAAUUCCUACUCAAAUUUAACUUCUAUUACCUGUUUUAGCCCUCCACUGAAGCUUAAAAUUCCAAAAACAAAGCUAUAACUCACCGUUUGAAGCUCAGUGAAAGCAGCAAGACUUGACUAGCCAAAAAACCGAAUCAAAAUUUCUUCAAUGAUAUAAUUGAAAGCUCGUUGAAUGUGAAUAAGAUCUCGAAUUGAAAGAAAGAUAACUUUAAAUGCCAAUUACAAUGCGAAGAAUGUUGGGUAGCAAACUCGGAUCUAAUGCAUUUAAUGGCUGUGUGUUUGGUGAUAAAGAGUUAGCAGAUCGGAGAGGAUCGGUUAUAAAGUUUGUAGCUUUCUCUCUCCUCCGAGAAAAUGAGAGAAAAUUAGAAAGAAACUUGAGUAACUAACCCCUCUAUCGUUCUUUUUCUUUUCAGCUUGCCGCUCAGAUAUGCUCCUUUCCUCCGUAGCAAGCUUUCAUUUUUU
RNAcentral lists this unclassified non-coding RNA (4835 nucleotides) under Hevea brasiliensis (rubber tree). Lineage: Eukaryota; Viridiplantae; Streptophyta; Magnoliopsida; Malpighiales; Euphorbiaceae. The record is from RNAcentral.